GACUUUCCUGAAGACCAAGCUGCCAUCUCCAGGCCUCAGCUAAGCAGCCUGCCUGAGAGCAAGGUUCUCUCAGCUCUCCUAGGACACGGGGGAGGCCCACUCACUCUGUUUCCUAGGACACACAGCUACACCUAAGGUCCAGCUCUGAAGCGAGAUACUCUAGACAGCAAAUGGAAAGGGUAUUUAUACUCAUCAUGUAUCCAAUCAUGAUCCAGGCAUCGCAGCUGAGUCUGGUGCUUAUUCCUUAUGUUUAUAACAAUAUAAGCAAUACGGUAAUUCCCACUCAAUCACUAGCCUAGAUAUGCAGUUGCUCAUUCUCUCCCUCUGCCCUGAAUUUUUCUCUCUCCUUUCUUACUUCCUUGCUUGCUUGAUUUUUCUCUCCCUUUCUCCUUUCCUUCCUGCCUCGUUCCCUUUCUUCAUUCCAUCAAUUCUCCUUCCUUUUUUUCCUUCUUUCCUUCCUUUCUUAUUUUUUUUUUUGGGGGGGGGUACAUAAUCAGAAUACUUCUUCCACAUAGUCAUUCAAAUAAUUUUUCUCUAUUUGUUCAUGCCCACAUUGAUAUAGCUAGUGUAAUUGUUCAGUUUUCAUUUUUAUAUUUUAGGUAUUUGCUAUAUUAUUUUCUGUUUCAUACUUGGCUUGUAUACAUAAAACGUUACAUGGAACUGAAGUCAAAAUUAUAAAAGGAGAUGCAUUUGAAGCUUUUAGCUUCCAUUCUAGAUUUCUCAUUCCUCUUUGCUCCCUGACACUAGAGGUAAAAAUACUUUUAUCAGUUUACUUGAACUUUUUCAUUCUGUCAUAGUGCCAUAUGUAUUGUUUCUUUUUCAAUGCCAUAUUUAUAUUUUCAUUCUUAUAUUGGGUUUUUAUACAUUUAAAGAAUCUUUUAUUUUCCUGUCUCUGGAUUUUGUGUUUCUAAAGGUGCACAUACUUCCUAAGUUUGCAUAAAGAAGUCCAUAGCAUUUAUUUGAAUGUUUUUAUGCAUUGAUUAUUUAAUCAUGGCAUGACUGAUCUUUCAGGAUUUUUAUACAAGAAUUACUAUAUUAAUAAUAUUAAUACUGGCCAGGCCCGGUGGCUCAUGCCUGGAACCCCAGCAAUGCGGUAGUGGAGUCCUUAGGAUCACUUGAGGCCAGGAGAUUGACACCAGCUUAGCCAAAGUGGUGAAACCCUGUCUCUACUAAAAAUAUAGGAAAUUAGCUGACUGUAGUGGCACACACAUGUAAUCCCAUCCACUUUGGAUGCUGAGGCAGGAGAAUCUCCUGAGCCUGGAUGCUGGAGGUGUCAGUGAGCUAAGAUAACAUUACUGUACUCCAGUUAGGGCAACAGAGCAAGACUAUGUCUCAAAACA
Long non-coding RNA from Sapajus apella (tufted capuchin), 1340 nucleotides. RefSeq lists it as uncharacterized. Lineage: Eukaryota; Metazoa; Chordata; Mammalia; Primates; Cebidae. The record is from RefSeq and is a predicted model, not a curated record. The transcript is spliced from 2 exons.